This 507-nucleotide ribosomal RNA is filed under the name uncultured Glomeromycotina. RNAcentral's name for it is "partial small subunit ribosomal RNA". It matches the Rfam family "Eukaryotic small subunit ribosomal RNA", at positions 591 to 1092 of the family's 1831-position model. The record is from RNAcentral. Lineage: Eukaryota; Fungi; Glomeromycota.
CCAAUAGCGUAUAUUAAAGUUGUUGCAGUUAAAAAGCUCGUAGUUGAAUUUCGGGAUUGACACAUCGGUCGUGCCUUAAGGGGUAUGAACUGGUGUAGUCAAUUUCUCACCUUCUGGAGAACCGCGAUGUCCUUAAUUGGGUGCCGUGGGGAACCAGGACCUUUACUUUGAAACAAUUAGAGUGUUUAAAGCAGGCAUUUUUGCUUGAAUACAUUAGCAUGGAAUAAUAAAAUAGGACGGCAUGGUUCUAUUUUGUUGGUUUCUAGGACCACCGUAAUGAUUAAUAGGGAUAGUUGGGGGCAUUAGUAUUCAAUUGUCAGAGGUGAAAUUCUUGGAUUUAUUGAAGACUAACUACUGCGAAAGCAUUUGCCAAGGAUGUUUUCAUUAAUCAAGAACGAAAGUUAGGGGAUCGAAGACGAUCAGAUACCGUCGUAGUCUUAACCAUAAACUAUGCCGACUAGGAAUCAGACGAUGUUAAUUUUUUAAUGACUCGUUUGGCACCUUACG